RNAcentral lists this ribosomal RNA (683 nucleotides) under Eidophelus squamosus. RNAcentral's name for it is "Scolytogenes squamosus partial large subunit ribosomal RNA". It matches the Rfam family "Eukaryotic large subunit ribosomal RNA", at positions 400 to 850 of the family's 3401-position model. The record is from RNAcentral. Lineage: Eukaryota; Metazoa; Arthropoda; Insecta; Coleoptera; Curculionidae.
UGAAACCGUUUAGGGGUAAACCUGAGAAACCCGAAAGGUCGAAGGGAGAAAUUCAUUCGCGUUUCGCGUUAGGCUUCGGACGAUCUGUUGACGGGACGCCGAUUUAGGCGUCCCGCUCGUUUCGCUCGACGAUCCUGACGCGAACGCGUGCACUUUUCUCCUGGUAGGACGUCGCGAUCCGUUGGGUGUCGGUCUAAGGUUUCGGGUGGAGCCCGUCGUUUGAUUCGUCAUUCGGCGGACCUCGGAUACCCGACCGACUCGCUCGACGGUAGAAGAAAGGUUCGAGGCCGCUCUCGGAGCGUCCGAGUCACGGCAAGCCCGUCAGUCGCGUUGGAAAUCGGACCCGGUGCCGAUUCCGGCCGCUGGCGACUGUUGGCCGCGGAUUUCUCGGACAGACCUCGUGACCGAUCGGCGACGCUAUAGCUUUGGGUAAUUUCAGGACCCGUCUUGAAACACGGACCAAGGAGUCUAGCAUGUGCGCGAGUCAUUGGGAAUCACUAAACCUAAAGGCGCAAUGAAAGUAAAGAUCUUCCUCGCGAGGAUCGAGGGAAGACGGGCCGACCGGCCUUAAAACCGGCGGUUCUGCAUUCCCGGGGCGUCUCGUUCUCAUCGCGAGAAGAGGCGCACCAAGAGCGUACACGCUGGGACCCGAAAGAUGGUGAACUAUGCCUGGUCAGGACGAA